UUGCAAUUAUGAUGAUAAUUCCUAGGUAUUUGCAAGCUUAACAUUCAACGGCACUUAGUCACUCACUAUUACCAAAAACCACAAAUCAUACAAUUGCUUUAAGUAUCCAAUAUUUGCAAGUUAAAGAUAGAAAGAAUUUAUACUUACAUGCAUAUAUUUGACUCCAAAUACUCACCAAAUUAUUCUACUCAACUAAUAUUGAACAAUAAGCUAUUGGGAUCAUUGGGGCUUUGUGGCUUUCAAUUGUUAGGCUUUUUGGUCCGAGGUAGGUAAUAUGGG
RNAcentral lists this long non-coding RNA (279 nucleotides) under Erythranthe guttata (spotted monkey flower). RNAcentral describes it as "long non-coding RNA (EGUT_LNC002795)". Lineage: Eukaryota; Viridiplantae; Streptophyta; Magnoliopsida; Lamiales; Phrymaceae. The record is from RNAcentral.